Molecule: ribosomal RNA, 587 nt
Filed under: Penicillium polonicum
Lineage: Eukaryota; Fungi; Ascomycota; Eurotiomycetes; Eurotiales; Aspergillaceae
Description: eukaryotic LSU rRNA
Rfam family: 5.8S ribosomal RNA (bases 208-360)
Source: RNAcentral
UUCCGUAGGUGAACCUGCGGAAGGAUCAUUACCGAGUGAGGGCCCUUUGGGUCCAACCUCCCACCCGUGUUUAUUUUACCUUGUUGCUUCGGCGGGCCCGCCUUUACUGGCCGCCGGGGGGCUCACGCCCCCGGGCCCGCGCCCGCCGAAGACACCCCCGAACUCUGUCUGAAGAUUGAAGUCUGAGUGAAAAUAUAAAUUAUUUAAAACUUUCAACAACGGAUCUCUUGGUUCCGGCAUCGAUGAAGAACGCAGCGAAAUGCGAUACGUAAUGUGAAUUGCAAAUUCAGUGAAUCAUCGAGUCUUUGAACGCACAUUGCGCCCCCUGGUAUUCCGGGGGGCAUGCCUGUCCGAGCGUCAUUGCUGCCCUCAAGCCCGGCUUGUGUGUUGGGCCCCGUCCUCCGAUUCCGGGGGACGGGCCCGAAAGGCAGCGGCGGCACCGCGUCCGGUCCUCGAGCGUAUGGGGCUUUGUCACCCGCUCUGUAGGCCCGGCCGGCGCUUGCCGAUCAACCCAAAUUUUUAUCCAGGUUGACCUCGGAUCAGGUAGGGAUACCCGCUGAACUUAAGCAUAUCAAUAAGCGGAGGAA